GUUAUAGGAUCAAGUGAAUAAGUGCAUGUGAUGGAUGCCUUGGCGAUUACAGGCGAUGAAGGACGUUGUAGCCUGCGAUAAGCUUCGGGGAGCUGGCAAACAAGCUUUGAUCCGAAGAUUUCCGAAUGGGGAAACCCGCCGCUUUUGCGGCACCCACAUCUGAAUACAUAGGGUGUGUGGAGCGAACCUCGUGAACUGAAACAUCUAAGUAGCGAGAGGAAAAGACAUCAACCGAGAUUCCCAAAGUAGUGGCGAGCGAAAUGGGAACAGCCUUCUAGUGAUAGCACAACAUUUAGCAGAACGGAAUGGAAAGUCCGGCAAUAAAGGGUGAUAGCCCCGUAUGCGAAAAAUGAUGUGUGGUACUAGGCUAGAGACAAGUAGGGCGGGACACGUGAAAUCCUGUCUGAAUAUGGGGGGACCAUCCUCCAAGGCUAA
RNAcentral lists this ribosomal RNA (435 nucleotides) under Burkholderiaceae bacterium. Its description in RNAcentral is "partial 23S ribosomal RNA". It matches the Rfam family "Bacterial large subunit ribosomal RNA", at positions 1 to 469 of the family's 2925-position model. Lineage: Bacteria; Pseudomonadati; Pseudomonadota; Betaproteobacteria; Burkholderiales; Burkholderiaceae. The record is from RNAcentral.